Molecule: ribosomal RNA, 253 nt
Filed under: uncultured bacterium
Lineage: Bacteria
Description: partial 16S ribosomal RNA
Rfam family: Bacterial small subunit ribosomal RNA
Source: RNAcentral
UACGUAGGUGGCAAGCGUUGUCCGGAUUUACUGGGCGUAAAGGGCGUGCAGGCGGUCUGUUAAGUUCAGGGUGAAAGCCCCCGGCUCAACUGGGGAGGGUCACGCGAUACUGAUCGACUCGAAGGCAGGAGAGGGAAGUGGAAUUCCCGGUGUAGUGGUGAAAUGCGUAGAUAUCGGGAGGAACACCAGUGGCGAAGGCGACUUCCUGGCCUGUUCUUGACGCUGAGGCGCGAAAGCUAGGGGAGCAAACGGG